Molecule: ribosomal RNA, 595 nt
Filed under: Salmonella enterica
Lineage: Bacteria; Pseudomonadati; Pseudomonadota; Gammaproteobacteria; Enterobacterales; Enterobacteriaceae
Description: bacterial SSU rRNA
Rfam family: Bacterial small subunit ribosomal RNA
Source: RNAcentral
AAGCGGUGGAGCAUGUGGUUUAAUUCGAUGCAACGCGAAGAACCUUACCUGGUCUUGACAUCCACAGAAGUUUGCAGAGAUGCGAAUGUGCCUUCGGGAACUGUGAGACAGGUGCUGCAUGGCUGUCGUCAGCUCGUGUUGUGAAAUGUUGGGUUAAGUCCCGCAACGAGCGCAACCCUUAUCCUUUGUUGCCAGCGGUCCGGCCGGGAACUCAAAGGAGACUGCCAGUGAUAAACUGGAGGAAGGUGGGGAUGACGUCAAGUCAUCAUGGCCCUUACGACCAGGGCUACACACGUGCUACAAUGGCGCAUACAAAGAGAAGCGACCUCGCGAGAGCAAGCGGACCUCAUAAAGUGCGUCGUAGUCCGGACUGGAGUCUGCAACUCGACUCCAUGAAGUCGGAAUCGCUAGUAAUCGUGGAUCAGAAUGCCACGGUGAAUACGUUCCCGGGCCUUGUACACACCGCCCGUCACACCAUGGGAGUGGGUUGCAAAAGAAGUAGGUAGCUUAACCUUCGGGAGGGCGCUUACCACUUUGUGAUUCAUGACUGGGGUGAAGUCGUAACAAGGUAACCGUAGGGGAACCUGCGGUUGGA